RNAcentral lists this microRNA precursor (122 nucleotides) under Brachypodium distachyon (stiff brome). Its description in RNAcentral is "mir-399 microRNA precursor family". It matches the Rfam family "mir-399 microRNA precursor family". From Rfam's summary of the family: mir-399 was identified in both Arabidopsis thaliana and Oryza sativa computationally and was later experimentally verified. mir-399 is thought to target mRNAs coding for a phosphatase transporter. Lineage: Eukaryota; Viridiplantae; Streptophyta; Magnoliopsida; Poales; Poaceae. The record is from Rfam by way of RNAcentral.
GUGAGAAUUACAGUGCGGUUCUCCUCUGGCACGGAGGUCGAGGGUAGCCGGCGGCAAUCCGGCCAGCGGCGAGGCUGCCAGUCCGUCCCCUUGCCAAAGGAGAAUUGCCCUGCCAUUCAUAA